CACGGUGCCGGUGCAUUUGCUACAUGUGUACGUUCACAAGUAGUUUUAGUCGGGCAACAGAAAACUCCAACUGGACAGAUAGUCUAGCUAGCUGUCCGGAUUUACCCUGCAGAGAUCUGAGGAGC
Etheostoma spectabile (orangethroat darter) is the source of this 125-nucleotide long non-coding RNA. RefSeq lists it as uncharacterized. Lineage: Eukaryota; Metazoa; Chordata; Actinopteri; Perciformes; Percidae. The record is from RefSeq and is a predicted model, not a curated record. The transcript has 3 exons.